CAGCAGCCGCGGUAAUACGUAGGGUGCGAGCGUUAAUCGGAAUUACUGGGCGUAAAGCGUGCGCAGGCGGUUCGUUAAGACAGAUGUGAAAUCCCCAGGCUUAACCUGGGAACUGCAUUUGUGACUGGCGAGCUAGAGUAUGGCAGAGGGGGGUAGAAUUCCAGGUGUAGCGGUGAAAUGCGUAGAGAUCUGGAGGAAUACCGGUGGCGAAGGCGGCCCCCUGGACAAAGACUGACGCUCAGGUGCGAAAGCGUGGGGAGCAAACAGGAUUAGAUACCCGCGUAGUCCCUGUCUCUUAACA
RNAcentral lists this ribosomal RNA (301 nucleotides) under uncultured bacterium. RNAcentral describes it as "partial 16S ribosomal RNA". It matches the Rfam family "Bacterial small subunit ribosomal RNA", at positions 509 to 808 of the family's 1533-position model. The record is from RNAcentral.